AUGUUCAGUGUCAAUCUAUCCAUCUCCGCACAACCCAAUAUUUUCUGAAUUAUAUUUUCAUCGGGAGGGGUGUUCUCAUUUUUCCAAUAUUGCGCAAAUACAAUUCUCGCUGCUGUCAAUACAUGUAGCAUUAAGUAUAUAGUCCCUGUGUCAUAGCUUUCUGGUAUUAUACCGAACGAAAAUCUUUCUGGCUUUAAAUCUAUAUGCUGCUUAAUCAUCUUUUCCAACCGUGUUAUGUAUUUUCGUCUGAUAUUUUCUUGCUUUCAUACACAUCCACCACAUAUGAUAAUAAGUACCUGGAGUCGGAUUGCAUUUCCAACAUUUGGCGGACAUGCUAAACAUUUUUGCUUAAUCUUGCAGGUGGUGAGUGAGUGAAUACAAGUCUAAAGUCAUUAUACUAUACGCUGUAGGUAGCCAUGGAGAUGGCCUUGAAGAGAAUAUUCAGAUGUCGUUCACAAAAGCAAGCCAAAGCAUUUCUUCAGCCCUGGGAAAGGAGAUAGUAUCAGGAAGAGGCGCAGGAUGUUUUCUCCCAACUAAAGGAGCCAGUUUGGUCUAUCGGUUAAGGCAUUGGGUCAGCAGAUUGCCGAAGCCUCGUAGCCCCCCCGGGAGGAUAAAUUUAAACCUGGUCUAAUUCGAUCGACGGCGAGAGAGGAGCAGGAAGUCCUUGCUCGGUCCCAAGUCCUAACGGAAGGAAGGAAGGAAAGAAGGGAAGGAAGGAAGGAAGGAAGGAAGAAGGCAGUCAAUAGGUGAGAUUAAAUUCAAACAAGCAUCUUCUUUUGGCAGCAGCAAUACUGCCAAACCUGGAACCCCCAUCCUGCAGAGCCUGUGUCCGUCCGUCCGUCCAUUCCCUCCCCCCCCUCCGUUUUGCAAGCCUGUUUGAAGUUCUGCAUCAUCCCUGCUGCCCUUCCGAGAAGCAAACCGAUUACGCACUUCAUCAGCAUCCAAAAUUACUUUCUCAUCUCAGCUGAAGCAGAAAAUUAUAAUUACCUCCCCCCCCUCCCCAAUGGGAAGCAAAGAAUUCUGGAGAAACAGAUAAAGCGGCUAUUUUUAGCUCUUAAGAAAAAUGACA
This is a long non-coding RNA of Pantherophis guttatus, 1069 nucleotides long. RefSeq lists it as uncharacterized. NCBI's taxonomy places the organism in Eukaryota, Metazoa, Chordata, Lepidosauria, Squamata, Colubridae. The record is from RefSeq and is a predicted model, not a curated record.